This 253-nucleotide ribosomal RNA is filed under the name uncultured bacterium. RNAcentral describes it as "partial 16S ribosomal RNA". It matches the Rfam family "Bacterial small subunit ribosomal RNA", at positions 524 to 776 of the family's 1533-position model. The record is from RNAcentral.
UACGAGGGGGGCAAGCGUUGUUCGGAAUUAUUGGGCGUAAAGGGCGCGUAGGCGGUGCGGUAAGUCUGAUGUGAAAUCUCCGGGCUCAACUCGGAGUCUGCAUCAGAAACUGCCGUGCUCGAGUGUGGGAGAGGUGAGUGGAAUUCCCGGUGUAGCGGUGAAAUUCGUAGAUAUUGGGAAGAACACCGGUGGCGAAGGCGGCUCUCUGGACCGACACUGACGCUGAGGCGCGAAAGCGUGGGGAGCAAACAGG